UUUUUUUUUUUUUUUUUGCUUUAGAUUUUCUGUUCUGUUCUGUUCUUUUUCUUUUACCUUUGAUUUAUGUAGAAGUGAAUUCUGGGUUGAUUAUUUAGCAGAGCUGUACUAUAAUGAAACAGAAGUGAACAGUUUGGAGCAUACUUUCUUUUGAGAAGUGUGGUUGUGAUUUUGUUUAGAAGUUGACUUUGCCAUAUUAAUUAUCUUUAUUGAUCUAACUCCUGUCCUCUUAAAUUAUUGAUGUAUGCGUUUACCAUUAGAUGUCUCUAGAUAAUGCAGUCGUCAUCACAGAAUUUUAUAUAGUUUUUGUGCUCGUUUAGUCACAGAUGGAAAACACUACAGCCACUGAAAGAGGAGAUGAACUGCUCCCUCUAAUUUGAACCAUUAACAAUGGGCUAGGUGAGGCAUUGACUGACUAGACUUGUUUGUUUGUUUCAAUUUUUUUUAGUAGAAUGUGCCUGCGAAAAAAUAAAUUUUGAUAAUAUUUCCCCCCUAGAGGAACUUUAAUUUUAAGUGAUGGGCAAUUUGGAUUUUUAUUUGGGAAGAGAACUGAUUGAUGCUUUUUAGAAAUGAUUCAGGAUCCCAUGCUCCCUUGUCCUGAACUCAAUAAAGCUUUUUCAUGUUUUCUGAGGAAACUCAAGUCAGAUUUAUUCAAUAUUAAAGAAGCCUUGAUUUAUAGUUCUGUGUUUAAGAAAUAAUUUCUGUGAGUUCCUUGCUGUAUUUUUUUUUAAUAUAUAAAAAUUAUCUUUUUGGUUGUGUUCCAUUGUUCUUGUGCUGUGUAGCAUGUGGACAGUAUCCAUAUCCAUCAUUUUUUUUCUGUUAGCUUAUUUUAAAGUUUUGGGUUAGAUGCUUUUGUUUCAUGCAUCAUUGACUAAACCACAAUCUUACUUGUUCUUUAGCUAUAGACGUGCAGUGUUUUAGAGUAUUAUACUUGUUAAUGGACUGAUGAUUUUUAAUAUUUAUUUUUGUUUUUUAUUGGAAAAUUUUUAUGCUUGUUAAUGGAUUGAUGAAUUUGAAAUAUUGAUUCAGCUUGAUAUUCUUGUGAAACUUUUCAUGAAGAAGUAUGCAGUGGAGUUGCCAUUGAGUCACAGAGAAAUUGAGCUGCAACAGGAGCAAGUACUUUCAGAGCUUGAUAGUUGG
This 1140-nucleotide unclassified non-coding RNA is filed under the name Hevea brasiliensis (rubber tree). The record is from RNAcentral. Lineage: Eukaryota; Viridiplantae; Streptophyta; Magnoliopsida; Malpighiales; Euphorbiaceae.